GUUAGGAAUAUUGGACAAUGGGCGCAAGCCUGAUCCAGCCAUGCCGCGUGAGUGAUGAAGGCCUUCGGGUUGUAAAGCUCUUUAGCCGAUGAUUAUAAUGACUGUAGUCGGAAAAUAAGCCCCGGCUAACUUCGUGCCAGCAGCCGCGGUAAUACGAAGGGGGCGAGCGUUAUUCGGAAUCACUGGGCGUAAAGCGUGCGUAGGCGGCUUUGCAAGUUGGGAGUGAAAGCCCAGGGCUCAACCCUGGAAUUGCUCUCAAAACUGCAAGGCUCGAAUUCGGGAGAGGAUAGCGGAAUUAUCAGUGUAGCAGUGAAAUGCGUAGAUAUUGACAGGAACACCAGUGGCGUAAGCGGCUAUCUGGACCGAUAUUGACGCUGAGGCACGAAAGCGUGGGGAUCAAACAGGAUUAGAUACCCGAGUAGUCC
RNAcentral lists this ribosomal RNA (425 nucleotides) under uncultured bacterium. RNAcentral's name for it is "partial 16S ribosomal RNA". It matches the Rfam family "Bacterial small subunit ribosomal RNA", at positions 354 to 796 of the family's 1533-position model. The record is from RNAcentral.